Molecule: ribosomal RNA, 777 nt
Filed under: uncultured Lactobacillales bacterium
Lineage: Bacteria; Bacillati; Bacillota; Bacilli; Lactobacillales
Description: bacterial SSU rRNA
Rfam family: Bacterial small subunit ribosomal RNA
Source: RNAcentral
GACGAACGCUGGCGGCGUGCCUAAUACAUGCAAGUCGAACGCUUCUUUCCUCCCGAGUGCUUGCACUCAAUUGGAAAGAGGAGUGGCGGACGGGUGAGUAACACGUGGGUAACCUACCCAUCAGAGGGGGAUAACACUUGGAAACAGGUGCUAAUACCGCAUAACAGUUUAUGCCGCAUGGCAUAAGAGUGAAAGGCGCUUUCGGGUGUCGCUGAUGGAUGGACCCGCGGUGCAUUAGCUAGUUGGUGAGGUAACGGCUCACCAAGGCCACGAUGCAUAGCCGACCUGAGAGGGUGAUCGGCCACACUGGGACUGAGACACGGCCCAGACUCCUACGGGAGGCAGCAGUAGGGAAUCUUCGGCAAUGGACGAAAGUCUGACCGAGCAACGCCGCGUGAGUGAAGAAGGUUUUCGGAUCGUAAAACUCUGUUGUUAGAGAAGAACAAGGACGUUAGUAACUGAACGUCCCCUGACGGUAUCUAACCAGAAAGCCACGGCUAACUACGUGCCAGCAGCCGCGGUAAUACGUAGGUGGCAAGCGUUGUCCGGAUUUAUUGGGCGUAAAGCGAGCGCAGGCGGUUUCUUAAGUCUGAUGUGAAAGCCCCCGGCUCAACCGGGGAGGGUCAUUGGGAACUGGGAGACUUGAGUGCAGAAGAGGAGAGUGGAAUUCCAUGUGUAGCGGUGAAAUGCGUAGAUAUAUGGAGGAACACCAGUGGCGAAAGCGGCUCUCUGGUCUGUAACUGACGCUGAGGCUCGAAAGCGUGGGGAGCAAACAGG